RNAcentral lists this ribosomal RNA (835 nucleotides) under Calathus melanocephalus. RNAcentral describes it as "eukaryotic LSU rRNA". It matches the Rfam family "Eukaryotic large subunit ribosomal RNA", at positions 409 to 929 of the family's 3401-position model. Lineage: Eukaryota; Metazoa; Arthropoda; Insecta; Coleoptera; Carabidae. The record is from RNAcentral.
UCAGGGGUAAACCUGUGGUUCCCGAAAGUUCGAACGGGGAGAUUCAAUUGCCUCGCCGGUUAUGACCAUUUAACAGUGAUGUGUUUAUGAUAUAUAUUUGAGACAUUAUAUGGCGGUUGCGGGUUUAUUCUCGUAGCUGUUUCUGUAUAGUGCUCCACUGUUUUAUGAUAUAUAGUUUAUAGCCGGAGGCGUGCACUUCUCCCCUUGUAGGACGUCGUGACCCAUUGGAUUAUGUUGUCUAAGGCUUAUAAUGGAGACCGUGGCAUUAAGUUUCGGCUUUAAUGACCCGGACUUAUAAUGUCCCGACAUCUAUCCGAUGGUAUAAUUAUGAUGAUAGAUCGCUAUAAAUGUGAUAUGAGCGUUCAGAUCCAUAACAAAUUCUUUUUAUGAAAUAGUGGAAAUCGGAUUUAAUGCCGAUUCUACACAUAUAGUAUUGAUAGUUGUGGUAUUCUCGAACCGUUCUUUAUCAUCAGUCAACGGCGUUUAUGUUUUGGGUAAUUACAGGACCCGUCUUGAAACACGGACCAAGGAGUCUAGCAUGUGCGCAAGUCAUUGGGACUUUGUGAAACCUAAAGGCGUAAUGAAAGUGAAAUAUUUGUGAAUUUUCGUAAUUCACUGAAUUUAAGGGAAGAUGGGUAACGUUUUUUAUGUUACCUCGCAUUCCCGGGGCGUCGCGUACUUAUUGCAAGUUGCGGCGCACCAAGAGCGUACACGCUGGGACCCGAAAGAUGGUNAACUAUGCCUGGUCAGGAUGAAGUCAGGGGAAACCCUGAUGGAGGUCCGUAGCGAUUCUGACGUGCAAAUCGAUCGUAUGAACUGGGUAUAGGGGCGAAAG